This 75-nucleotide transfer RNA is filed under the name Methanobacteriota archaeon. RNAcentral describes it as "Euryarchaeota archaeon (sediment metagenome) tRNA-Pro". It matches the Rfam family "tRNA". From Rfam's summary of the family: Transfer RNA (tRNA) molecules are approximately 80 nucleotides in length. Their secondary structure includes four short double-helical elements and three loops (D, anti-codon, and T loops). Lineage: Archaea; Methanobacteriati; Methanobacteriota. The record is from RNAcentral.
GGGUCCGUGGGGUAGCUUGGCCUAUCCUUGGUGGUUCGGGACCACUAGACUCCGGUUCAAAUCCGGACGGACCCA